GGCGAUGGUGGUCGGCACCAGACCGGCCGCGAGCACGGCGGCGGCCGGGCGGGUCAGAUGCCCGGUGGCCAGUGCCAGGCCGGCCACCACGUC
This 93-nucleotide transfer RNA is filed under the name Paractinoplanes durhamensis. RNAcentral's name for it is "Actinoplanes durhamensis tRNA-Cys". The record is from RNAcentral. Lineage: Bacteria; Bacillati; Actinomycetota; Actinomycetes; Micromonosporales; Micromonosporaceae.